RNAcentral lists this ribosomal RNA (252 nucleotides) under uncultured bacterium. Its description in RNAcentral is "partial 16S ribosomal RNA". It matches the Rfam family "Bacterial small subunit ribosomal RNA", at positions 524 to 776 of the family's 1533-position model. The record is from RNAcentral.
UACGGAGGAUGCGAGCGUUAUCCGGAUUUAUUGGGUUUAAAGGGUGCGUAGGCGGGUUAUCAAGUCAGCGGUAAAACCGUGGAGCUCAACUCCAUCCAGCCGUUGAAACUGAUGAUCUUGAGUGGGCGAGAAGUAUGCGGAAUGCGUGGUGUAGCGGUGAAAUGCAUAGAUAUCACGCAGAACUCCGAUUGCGAAGGCAGCAUACCGGCGCCCGACUGACGCUGAAGCACGAAAGCGUGGGUAUCGAACAGG